This 200-nucleotide unclassified non-coding RNA is filed under the name plant metagenome. RNAcentral's name for it is "partial contains small subunit ribosomal RNA, internal transcribed spacer 1, and 5.8S ribosomal RNA". The record is from RNAcentral.
UCUCCGUUGGUGAACCAGCGGAGGGAUCAUUAUCGAGUUUAUAACUCCCAAACCCGAUGUGAACUACCACUUGUUGCUUUGGCGCGCGCAUCGGUGCCGCCGAGGACAAGUAAACUCUUUGUUUUUAUCAGCAUUUCUGGGUGGCCGAAAGGCAAAAUACAAAUGAAUCAAAACUUUCAACAACGGAUCUCUUGGUUCUG